GAGCGGUAAGGCCACUUCGGUGGUACACGAGCGGCGGACGGCUGAGUAACGCGUAGGAACAUACCCCAAAGUGAGGGAUAACUGCUCGAAAGAGUAGCUAAUACCGCAUGUGGUCCAAGGACUAAAGCUUCGGCGCUUUGGGAAUGGCCUGCGUAUGAUUAGCUUGUUGGUGAGGUAAUGGCUCACCAAGGCGACGAUCAUUAGCUGGUCUGAGAGGAUGAUCAGCCAGACUGGGACUGAGACACGGCCCAGACUCCUACGGGAGGCAGCAGUAGGGAAUUUUCCACAAUGGGGGCAACCCUGAUGGAGCAACGCCGCGUGCAGGAUGAAUGCCUUCGGGUUGUAAACUGCUUUUAUAUGUGAAGAUUAUGACGGUAGCAUAUGAAUAAGGAUCGGCUAACUCCGUG
This 407-nucleotide ribosomal RNA is filed under the name uncultured bacterium. RNAcentral's name for it is "bacterial SSU rRNA". It matches the Rfam family "Bacterial small subunit ribosomal RNA", at positions 64 to 507 of the family's 1533-position model. The record is from RNAcentral.